CCCCGGAAGGGGAGUGAAAUAGAACCUGAAACCGUGUGCUUACAAGUAGUCAGAGCCCGUUAAUGGGUGAUGGCGUGCCUUUUGUAGAAUGAACCGGCGAGUUACGAUUUGAUGCAAGGUUAAGCAGUAAAUGUGGAGCCGUAGCGAAAGCGAGUCUGAAUAGGGCGUUUAGUAUUUGGUCGUAGACCCGAAACCAGGUGAUCUACCCUUGGUCAGGUUGAAGUUCAGGUAACACUGAAUGGAGGACCGAACCGACUUACGUUGAAAAGUGAGCGGAUGAACUGAGGGUAGCGGAGAAAUUCCAAUCGAACCUGGAGAUAGCUGGUUCUCUCCGAAAUAGCUUUAGGGCUAGCCUCAAGUGAUGAUUAUUGGAGGUAGAGCACUGUUUGGACGAGGGGCCCCUCUCGGGUUACCGAAUUCAGACAAACUCCGAAUGCCAAUUAAUUUAACUUGGGAGUCAGAACAUGGGUGAUAAGGUCCGUGUUCGAAAGGGAAACAGCCCAGACCACCAGCUAAGGUCCCAAAAUAUAUGUUAAGUGGAAAAGGAUGUGGCGUUGCCCAGACAACUAGGAUGUUGGCUUAGAAGCAGCCAUCAUUUAAAGAGUGCGUAAUAGCUCACUAGUCGAGUGACACUGCGCCGAAAAUGUACCGGGGCUAAACAUAUUACCGAAGCUGUGGAUUGUCCUUUGGACAAUGGUAGGAGAGCGUUCUAAGGGCGUUGAAGCAUGAUCGUAAGGACAUGUGGAGCGCUUAGAAGUGAGAAUGCCGGUGUGAGUAGCGAAAGACGGGUGAGAAUCCCGUCCACCGAUUGACUAAGGUUUCCAGAGGAAGGCUCGUCCGCUCUGGGUUAGUCGGGUCCUAAGCUGAGGCCGACAGGCGUAGGCGAUGGAUAACAGGUUGAUAUUCCUGUACCACCUAUAAUCGUUUUAAUCGAUGGGGGGACGCAGUAGGAUAGGCGAAGCGUGCGAUUGGAUUGCACGUCUAAGCAGUAAGGCUGAGUAUUAGGCAAAUCCGGUACUCGUUAAGGCUGAGCUGUGAUGGGGAGAAGACAUUGUGUCUUCGAGUCGUUGAUUUCACACUGCCGAGAAAAGCCUCUAGAUAGAAAAUAGGUGCCCGUACCGCAAACCGACACAGGUAGUCAAGAUGAGAAUUCUAAGGUGAGCGAGCGAACUCUCGUUAAGGAACUCGGCAAAAUGACCCCGUAACUUCGGGAGAAGG
RNAcentral lists this ribosomal RNA (1218 nucleotides) under Staphylococcus aureus. RNAcentral describes it as "partial 23S ribosomal RNA". It matches the Rfam family "Bacterial large subunit ribosomal RNA", at positions 524 to 1746 of the family's 2925-position model. The record is from RNAcentral. Lineage: Bacteria; Bacillati; Bacillota; Bacilli; Caryophanales; Staphylococcaceae.